GCGAGGAAUCUUGGGCAAUGGGCGAAAGCCUGACCCAGCGACGCCGCGUGAGGGACGAAGGCCUUCGGGUCGUAAACCUCUUUUGUGAGGGAAGAAGUUCUGACGGUACCUCACGAAUAAGCCACGGCUAACUACGUGCCAGCAGCCGCGGUAAUACGUAGGUGGCGAGCGUUGUCCGGAUUUACUGGGCGUAAAGGGCUUGUAGGCGGUUCGUUAAGUCCGGUGUGAAAUCUCCCGGCCCAACUGGGAGGGGCCAUCGGAUACUGGCGAACUGGAGGCGGGCAGAGGAAAGCAGAAUUCCCGGUGUAGCGGUGAAAUGCGUAGAUAUCGGGAGGAAUACCAGUGGCGAAGGCGGCUUUCUGGGCCUGUCCUGACGCUGAGGAGCGAAAGCGUGGGGAGCAAACCGGAUUAGAAACCCGAGUAGUCC
This 427-nucleotide ribosomal RNA is filed under the name uncultured bacterium. Its description in RNAcentral is "bacterial SSU rRNA". It matches the Rfam family "Bacterial small subunit ribosomal RNA", at positions 354 to 796 of the family's 1533-position model. The record is from RNAcentral.